GUUUGAUCAUGGCUCAGAUUGAACGCUGGCGGCAGGCUUAACACAUGCAAGUCGAACGGUAACAGGAAUUAGCUUGCUAAUUUGCUGACGAGUGGCGGACGGGUGAGUAAUGCUUGGGAAUCUGGCUUAUGGAGGGGGAUAACUACGGGAAACUGUAGCUAAUACCGCGUAAAAUCUUCGGAUUAAAGGGUGGGACUUUCGAGCCACCUGCCAUAAGAUGAGCCCAAGUGGGAUUAGGUAGUUGGUUAGGUAAAGGCUGACCAAGCCGACGAUCUCUAGCUGGUCUGAGAGGAUGACCAGCCACACUGGAACUGAGACACGGUCCAGACUCCUACGGGAGGCAGCAGUGGGGAAUAUUGCACAAUGGGCGCAAGCCUGAUGCAGCGACGCCGCGUGAGGGAUGACGGCCUUCGGGUUGUAAACCUCUUUCAGUAGGGAAGAA
Molecule: ribosomal RNA, 442 nt
Filed under: uncultured Symbiodinium
Lineage: Eukaryota; Dinophyceae; Suessiales; Symbiodiniaceae
Description: partial Bacterial small subunit ribosomal RNA
Rfam family: Bacterial small subunit ribosomal RNA
Source: RNAcentral